CAAAUUUGAAACGUUCUGUUUAAUUUUACUCUUUGCUCUUCUCAAUCCCUAACAAGAAAACGGGAGAGGGUUCACUUCGAACUCCAUUUCUGACCUGAGGGGCCGUAAAAGGAGACGGGGACAGCAGUGCCGGCGAAGGCCAGGAUGACGUCAAGAGAUCGAACCGUCGCCUGGGGCGAUUUCAUUUUCGAAGCUCUUCGCAUGUGCUGACCGCUUCGAUUGGUUCCUCAUGACCGUCGGCUCCCUUGCUGCCGCGGCUCAUGGCACCGCGCUCGUCAUUUACUUGCACUAUUUCGCGAAGAUCAUUCACGUGCUGCGGAUGGAUCUUAAACUCGGCACGUCACAUGAGCAGUUUAACAGGUUCACCGAGGACUAAGUAAAGGGUGGACGUCGUGGAAAAACUAUUAACAUCUUUUCAAUUGCUUCUGGACACCUACAUUGAAGACACUAGAAGGAACUGGGCUUCUUUUAUUUUAAGUGUUAGUAGAAACUUGGCUACUAUGUACAUUAAUGUAAUAUUUGGAUUCAAUAUAUAGUUUAAUGUAUAAAUGAUGUAUUAAAUAUUAUUAGACUAUUUAAUGUUUGAAAUGAAUUUUAUUUUGUUAGUUUCA
Molecule: long non-coding RNA, 611 nt
Organism: Vigna angularis (adzuki bean)
Lineage: Eukaryota; Viridiplantae; Streptophyta; Magnoliopsida; Fabales; Fabaceae
Exons: 3
Source: RefSeq, a predicted model, not a curated record